RNAcentral lists this ribosomal RNA (484 nucleotides) under uncultured bacterium. RNAcentral describes it as "partial 16S ribosomal RNA". It matches the Rfam family "Bacterial small subunit ribosomal RNA", at positions 28 to 507 of the family's 1533-position model. The record is from RNAcentral.
AUUGAACGCUGGCGGCAUGCUUUACACAUGCAAGUCGAACGGCAGCGCGGGCUUCGGCCUGGCGGCGAGUGGCGAACGGGUGAGUAAUGCAUCGGAACGUGCCCAGUAGUGGGGGAUAGCCCGGCGAAAGCCGGAUUAAUACCGCAUACGACCUGAGGGUGAAAGCGGGGGACCGAAAGGCCUCGCGCUAUUGGAGCGGCCGAUGUCGGAUUAGCUAGUUGGUGGGGUAAAGGCUUACCAAGGCGACUAUCCGUAGCUGGUCUGAGAGGACGACCAGCCACACUGGGACUGAGACACGGCCCAGACUCCUACGGGAGGCAGCAGUGGGGAAUUUUGGACAAUGGGGGCAACCCUGAUCCAGCCAUGCCGCGUGCGGGAAGAAGGCCUUCGGGUUGUAAACCGCUUUUGUUCGGGAAGAAAUCCUCUGGGCUAAUACCCCGGGGGGAUGACGGUACCGGAAGAAUAAGCACCGGCUAACUACGUG